This 27-nucleotide non-coding RNA is filed under the name Cricetulus griseus (Chinese hamster). Lineage: Eukaryota; Metazoa; Chordata; Mammalia; Rodentia; Cricetidae. The record is from RNAcentral.
GCAGUGUAGGACAUGCUCUGGGGAGAG